UGUUGAAUUGUGGGCGCUCAAGUGGUCGGUCCAGUCCCCCUCUGCUUCGUGCAAGGUGGUGCUCCCGCUCUUGUCGCUCGUGAACGACAGACACAAAUACCACGGGAUUCUUCUUCCCUUCACAUCUCUACGCGUUCAAUGCACGCCGUGUGAGGGGAUGCCCGUGUUUUUUACUGUGCUAAAAAAGCGCGACCAAAGCAGUCAAGCGACAUGAAUUUCAAAGCAUGGGAUAACAACGAGCAACCUACGGAUUCCCGUCUCGGCUUUUGUUGGUUUUAAAUAUCUGUGGGAGAUUUGGUCUGGCAUGACAAGCGGUUCGCGGGCCUCCGGGUUUCGCUACGCCUUCCGCCCCUUGCGCUUUCGGGUGCUGGGAUACGGUUUGCUUGGACUAGGAAUGAAGGAGGGUUGUUCGGGGGGAACGUACUUGAGCGUGAGAGGUGAAAUUCUUAGACCGCUCAAAGACGAACUACAGCGAGGCAUUCUCCAAGGAUACCUUCCUCAAUCAAGAACCAAAGUGCGGAGAUCGAAGAUGUUAGAUACCAUUGUAGUCC
Molecule: ribosomal RNA, 551 nt
Filed under: uncultured kinetoplastid
Lineage: Eukaryota; Euglenozoa; Kinetoplastea
Description: bacterial SSU rRNA
Rfam family: Eukaryotic small subunit ribosomal RNA
Source: RNAcentral